CCUACGGGAGGCAGCAGUGGGGAAUUUUGGACAAUGGGCGCAAGCCUGAUCCAGCAAUGCCGCGUGCAGGAUGAAGGCCUUCGGGUUGUAAACUGCUUUUGUACGGAACGAAAAGUCUUGGGUUAAUACCCUGGGAUCAUGACGGUACCGUAAGAAUAAGCACCGGCUAACUACGUGCCAGCAGCCGCGGUAAUACGUAGGGUGCAAGCGUUAAUCGGAAUUACUGGGCGUAAAGCGUGCGCAGGCGGUUUUGUAAGACAGUGGUGAAAUCCCCGGGCUCAACCUGGGAACUGCCAUUGUGACUGCAAGGCUGGAGUGCGGCAGAGGGGGAUGGAAUUCCGCGUGUAGCAGUGAAAUGCGUAGAUAUGCGGAGGGACACCGAUGGCGAAGGCAAUCCCCUGGGCCUGCACUGACGCUCAUGCACGAAAGCGUGGGGAGCAAACAGGAUUAGAUACCCUGGUAGUCCACGCCCUAAACGAUGUCAACUGGUUGUUGGGAAUUUAUUUUCUCAGUAACGAAGCUAACGCGUGAAGUUGACCGCCUGGGGAGUACGGCCGCAAGGUUAAAACUCAAAUGAAUUGACGG
RNAcentral lists this ribosomal RNA (585 nucleotides) under uncultured bacterium. RNAcentral's name for it is "bacterial SSU rRNA". It matches the Rfam family "Bacterial small subunit ribosomal RNA", at positions 338 to 916 of the family's 1533-position model. The record is from RNAcentral.